Beta vulgaris subsp. vulgaris (sugar beet) is the source of this 593-nucleotide long non-coding RNA. RefSeq lists it as uncharacterized. The record is from RefSeq and is a predicted model, not a curated record. The transcript is spliced from 2 exons. Lineage: Eukaryota; Viridiplantae; Streptophyta; Magnoliopsida; Caryophyllales; Amaranthaceae.
UCUCUCCUCAUAGAAAACCCCUGCUUCCCAAAGCUUCUACCCCCAACCCCCCCCCCCAAAGUUGCAGCGCUUGGUUCGCCGGCGACCGAUCUGCCCUCUGGUCGCCGGCGAGCCUUCAAUUUCGGCGACCCCAGCAUUAAUUGGUGCGUAUAGUGUUCGGUGGUGCGAUUUUUUUCAUCAGUCGGAGGGUGAGUGUUGAUCGCACAUCGGCGGCAGAUCGGUUUAAAGAAUCAGUGUAUGCAUCUCUCUCGUGAAUGCGUUUUCCUUGUAUCAUAUUGUUGAUCUCAGGUUACGUGCUGGAAUAAAGAGGAAAGUUGGUUUCGGUGCAGAUCCCUCCCAAAGCUCGAGGAAAAAGCAUGCUUCAAGUUCUUGUGUUGCUAGCAAUAAGUCAGAUAUCAGUAAUGUGUCAAGUCCUAGUUUGCAAUCACAUGUUAGUAGUGAAUCAGAGGUCAGUAUUGUUUCAUGUUCUAGUCUAAUGUCGUUUAGUCUUGUAAGUCUAUGUUCAUCGAGUCCCAAAAUAAACGAAGCCCACAGCCUAUCCUUAGAAGGUAGGGAAACGGGCUCACUUGUAAUUUAAUGUUUUUAUUAAUGUA